This 454-nucleotide ribosomal RNA is filed under the name uncultured Prevotella sp. Its description in RNAcentral is "bacterial SSU rRNA". It matches the Rfam family "Bacterial small subunit ribosomal RNA", at positions 341 to 792 of the family's 1533-position model. Lineage: Bacteria; Pseudomonadati; Bacteroidota; Bacteroidia; Bacteroidales; Prevotellaceae. The record is from RNAcentral.
ACGGAAGGCAGCAGUGAGGAAUAUUGGUCAAUGGACGAGAGUCUGAACCAGCCAAGUAGCGUGCAGGAUGACGGCCCUAUGGGUUGUAAACUGCUUUUGUCAGGGAAUAAAGUUGCCCACGUGUGGGUAUUUGCAUGUACCUGAAGAAUAAGGACCGGCUAAUUCCGUGCCAGCAGCCGCGGUAAUACGGAAGGUCCGGGCGUUAUCCGGAUUUAUUGGGUUUAAAGGGAGCGUAGGCCGUAGGUUAAGCGUGUUGUGAAAUGUAGUCGCUCAACGUCUGCACUGCAGCGCGAACUGGCUUACUUGAGUGCGCGGGAAGUUGGCGGAAUUCGACGUGUAGCGGUGAAAUGCUUAGAUAUGUCGAAGAACUCCGAUUGCGAAGGCAGCUGACUGUAGCGUAACUGACGCUGAAGCUCGAAAGUGUGGGUAUCGAACAGGAUUAGAUACCCUGGUA